AAACUUUCAACACGGAUCUCUUGGUUCUGGCAUCGAUGAAGAACGCAGCGAAAUGCGAUAAGUAGUGUGANUUGCAAAAUNCAGUGANUCAUCGAAUCUUUGANCGCACAUNGCGCCCCUUGGNAUCCCCGAGGGCAUGCCUGUNCNAGCGUCAUUUCACCA
Molecule: ribosomal RNA, 162 nt
Filed under: uncultured Cenococcum
Lineage: Eukaryota; Fungi; Ascomycota; Dothideomycetes; Gloniales; Gloniaceae
Description: partial 5.8S ribosomal RNA
Rfam family: 5.8S ribosomal RNA
About the family: 5.8S ribosomal RNA (5.8S rRNA) is a component of the large subunit of the eukaryotic ribosome. It is transcribed by RNA polymerase I as part of the 45S precursor that also contains 18S and 28S rRNA.
Source: RNAcentral